ACGCUAGCUACAGGCUUAACACAUGCAAGUCGAGGGGUAACGUGAAGCAAGCUUGCUUGCUUUGACGACGACCGGCGCACGGGUGAGUAACGCGUAUCCAACCUGCCCCUUACUACGGGACAGCCCGGCGAAAGUCGGAUUAAUACCGUAUGUGGUGUGAAGAGGACAUCUGACUUACACUAAAGAUUCGUCGGUAAGGGAUGGGGAUGCGUCCGAUUAGGUUGUCGGCGGGGUAACGGCCCACCGAGCCCGCGAUCGGUAGGGGUUCUGAGAGGAAGGUCCCCCACACUGGAACUGAGACACGGUCCAGACUCCUACGGGAGGCAGCAGUGAGGAAUAUUGGUCAAUGGGCGAGAGCCUGAACCAGCCAAGUAGCGUGAGGGAAGACUGCCCUAUGGGUUGUAAACCUCUUUAGUCUGGGAAUAAAGUUGGCGACGUGUCGCCUUUUGUAGGUACCAGAAGAAUAAGGACCGGCUAAUUCCGUGCCAGCAGCCGCGGUAAUACGGAAGGUCCGGGCGUUAUCCGGAUUUAUUGGGUUUAAAGGGAGCGCAGGCGGCCUGUUAAGCGGGCGGUUAAAGGCGGUGGCUCAACCAUCGUUAGCUGUCCGAACUGCCAGGCUUGAGUACGUGCGAGGUAUGCGGAAAUUCGUGGUGUAGCGGGUGAAAUGCUUAGAUAUCACGAAGAACCCCGAUUGCGAAAGGCAGCAUACCAGUGCGCCACUGGACGCUAAAGCUCGAAAGCGCGGGUAUCGAACAGGAUUAGAUACCUUGGUAGUCCGCGCGGUAAACGAUGGAUGCCCG
RNAcentral lists this ribosomal RNA (800 nucleotides) under uncultured bacterium. RNAcentral's name for it is "bacterial SSU rRNA". It matches the Rfam family "Bacterial small subunit ribosomal RNA", at positions 33 to 819 of the family's 1533-position model. The record is from RNAcentral.